CAAGAGACCAGAGACUCCGCUGAAGGAAGCUGGUUCUGUUUGUGCAGAUUGCCCUGCAUUGUUUCUUCCUACCUUUGCUUUUUUCAAAUGUCUGUGCCUCUCUUUUGAGAACCUGCCCCCAAAUAUCGCUAUUUUCUUUGGUGUUCUAUUAAAGUGGAUUUAGAGCAUUGGCAUAGGUCCUUUAGCUCCCCCAGGACAUACGAAUCCCAGGUUUAGUGCAACUGAGAACCGUCCUCUGUCCGUCUUCAGUGUAUCGCCUCCAAAUUCUUCCUUCAUCGCGGGCUCUGGGGACACGUGGAGAGCUGUUCUCUCGCUCUGUCUUUGCCAGCUGGCAAAGGUCCGGCUCAGUUAGAAGGCCCUGGAGAGACUGACCCAGGAGAAAGGGCUUCCUCCUCCUGGUUCUAGUGGCUUGCUUGUCCCUUGCCCCUGGCACUGAUUCUCCAUCACCUGGUUUCUAUGGUACCCACAGCUUCCUCAGCGUCUAUCACCUGCAAAACACACAGUCAGCAGCACCCAAUGGCCUCCAGGCUUCCCCCACACUCAGAAAAACUUGUCCUUUUAUAGAUGGUACCCAUGUCACAAAGAGACCACCUGAGAGCAGCUUUCCCUGGCACCACAGCCACUUCCAUGUCAUCCUCUGAGCUGUGGCCAUGUCCUCCUCAACAAGAUCUGCAUUCCAUCCUCCAGAGCCGAAGUCCAAAGUCAAGAUGUCAAAAGUUUGAUCUCUCCUGAGAUGUCUCUCUGUGGCCUGUGGAUGACUGCCCUCUCACUGUGUCUUCAGAAGCUCCUCUCUGUAUGCGCACAUCCCUGGUUUUCAAUAUGAUGGAGAAGAAACUCUGCAGUGGUGAGAAGAGCAUCUGCCUCCGCUCUGGAAGACUUGAUUUGAGGCCAUCUCAGUUUCUCAUCAAGAAAAGAGGUGUGACUGGAUUCAAUGAGCUUAUGCAAAUGAAAGUGCUUUAAAACCUGCAGAGGACUUUAUGAUAAACUGGAGUAUUCCUUGAAGUAAUAAGGAAGACAUUGAAAGCCUUAUGGACUUGUUUAAUUGACUCAGCCUUUAGUUUUGGAAAAGAUGGAGACUUCAUGGCCUCUAGAAUUUCGGCCAGCAAGUUUUCUGGCAAUUUCUACACUCCCUCAUGGAAGGGAAGAAAAGAAACUAUAACCUGGCGCUCAUUUUAUUCCAUAUCAGAGCCACUCUCUGCCAAGUAAUUCAGUGUUUUCAGUCAUCUUACUCCGUGACAAACUGAGGCACCUAGUGAAAUUGAGUUGUCAGGUCCUUGGGGGAAGGGAACCCAUUUGUGGAGGUGUUUCACCUACAAAACAUUGCACAUAUCUCAUUUAAUCCUCGCUGCAUCCCUAGGAAGCAAAUAUGAAUUCAAUCCAUCUUACAGAUAAGGAAACUGAGGCUCACGGAGGGUGAAUAACUGGCCAGUGGUAGACCAGAAAUUAGAACUCAGAUCCACCUACAUCUGCUACCGCUUGUCUUAUUGCCUCCUUUAUUAGCCAGAACUUAUUCACCCUGACCUCAGUUUAAUAGUGCUAUUAGUGACAUUAUUGUCAUGGGGUUGAAGCAAUUCACAGUUGAUUCUAACAGAGCUUGAAUUAAUAAAACUCUCCAGUGAUGGGGUAUGUAACGGUUCUCAAGCUACAUCAUCGAUAUUAAAAAUGAAGCACUGGAUUUAAAAACAUAUAUUUUGGCAGAUAUUCAAGCGCACGCUGCCACGGUACCCACCGGCCUUUGCCUCCUGUGAUCUAGAGUGGUCAUCCACGGCAGCAUUUGCUCGUGUCUGCCCGGCUCUGCCUUCACUGUUUGUGUGUGCACCCACUUAAUCUGUAGAGAAGUAGUGUCCACAAAUUUAUCUAGCAAAGGAAAGUCCACUUCUGAUUACUAUUUGUUUGCCUUUCUGGUUUUUAUCAGAUUCCACAGCUGAGAAAUAGCAGGCUUUUAUGAUUUCAAAUUCAGACUCUGGCGAGUGUGUGCUAGGAUCUUUAAAAGACUGGAAGCAGGUCCCUCCAUAAGCUUCACUUUGAAAUCUCGUUGGAAGCUUGUUCUCAUUUCAAAAGGAAAACAGAGAAAAAGAAACCCAACCAAACUUUCCCGAAAACGAAGAAGAGACGAGACAAGAGUUCAAAGAAGGAAUGAACGGAACUGCUGCUUUAAUAACGGGAGGGAGGAAGUGACCUCGGGCAGGAGCAUCCAGGAGGAGCAUCGUCCCUCCACGCGUCCCUUGGAGUCCUUGCUUCCCAAGAUCUUGCAGUUCAGGGUGUCAGUGUCGGGCUUCUCGCCCGGAGAGUGCCUUCUUUGGGAUCAGGAAUUGUUUUGCUCCUCUUUUCCUCCUGUUCUGCAUCUUGUCUAAUCUGCCUUCACGGGGACCAUCGCCACCUCUGAUUGGACCCUCAUGGCGGCUCCUUGAAGAGACCCUGCCUUCCAGUCUCCUCAGCAUGACCUCCUGUCCACUCUGUAAUGGGAACCCCCCCCCUGCAACUUCCCCAGGUGGUGCCAGAUGGCUGCGCAGAUGCCAUCUGAACCCCGUCACCAAAGCCUUGCAAAACUUAGCCCUCACCAGAUACUUUGUCAACUGUGUUUCCCACCAUCUCUACUCUUCCCCGCCCCCAGCCCCUGCAACCCAGGAAGGAAACAGGAUGAUGGAAUAGUGAAGACCAUGAGGUGGGGGGCAUCUUUAGACUGAGUGGUCAGAGGAGGCCUCUUUGAGUAUGUAGCAUUUGUGGGGACCCUUGGGAACCCACCACAUGGAGAAGUGCGGAAGGAAGUCAGACACCCAGACCCAAAGGCCCUGUGGAAAGACGGAGCUUGGCCUUAGGGGGAUAUAAUGGAGACCCCUGUGCCCCGAGCAGAGUGGGGAGGGGCUGCGGAGUAGGCAGGAAGCAGGUUCUGUGGGAGGUUGUUCAGCCUUGAAAAGUGACCUGUGUGAGUCCCUGCAUGUGUUUCUGCAGGGCAGUGAGAUGACAGGGGCUAUGUUUUAGAAGAUAAUCCUAGCAAGGGGUGAGUCGCAAUGGGAAAGGGUCCACUUCCAAAUGACUCUUCCAAAGUCACUUUUCUGAUUAUCAGCUCUAUAGGAGAGAAAUGAUUUCUCUUUCAAUAAGGUGUCAGAAGGGCUGCAAUCUUUCUUAGGGUCUGCAUUUUUGAAGUCUCCUUGGAGUACACGAGUGUCAAAGGAUUUCUUUGGAACUAUCAUGAAUUUUUGGUGACAUUCUACUCAUUAAAGUCAUAAAUCCGUUAUUAACAA
Molecule: non-coding RNA, 3245 nt
Organism: Ictidomys tridecemlineatus (thirteen-lined ground squirrel)
Lineage: Eukaryota; Metazoa; Chordata; Mammalia; Rodentia; Sciuridae
Source: RefSeq, a predicted model, not a curated record